UAGGGAAUCUUCGGCAAUGGGGGGAACCCUGACCGAGCAACGCCGCGUGAGUGAAGAAGGUUUUCGGAUCGUAAAGCUCUGUUGUUAAGGAAGAACGAGUGUGAGAAUGGAAAGUUCAUGCUGUGACGGUACUUAACCAGAAAGGGACGGCUAACUACGUGCCAGCAGCCGCGGUAAUACGUAGGUCCCGAGCGUUGUCCGGAUUUAUUGGGCGUAAAGCGAGCGCAGGCGGUUAGAAAAGUCUGAAGUGAAAGGCAGGGGCUCAACCAUUGUAGGCUUUGGAAACUGUUUAACUUGAGUGCAGAAGGGGAGGGUGGAAUUCCAUGUGUAGCGGUGAAAUGCGUAGAUAUAUGGAGGAACACCGGUGGCGAAAGCGGCUCUCUGGUCUGUAACUGACGCGGAGGCUCGAAAGCGUGGGGAGCGAACAGG
Molecule: ribosomal RNA, 429 nt
Filed under: Bacteroidota bacterium
Lineage: Bacteria; Pseudomonadati; Bacteroidota
Description: Bacteroidetes bacterium partial 16S ribosomal RNA
Rfam family: Bacterial small subunit ribosomal RNA
Source: RNAcentral